This 518-nucleotide ribosomal RNA is filed under the name uncultured bacterium. RNAcentral's name for it is "bacterial SSU rRNA". It matches the Rfam family "Bacterial small subunit ribosomal RNA", at positions 32 to 518 of the family's 1533-position model. The record is from RNAcentral.
AGGACGACGCUGGCGGCGUGCCUAAUACAUGCAAGUCGAACGGUCUUUCUAUGGAAGCUUGCUUCCACUGAGAAGAUAGUGGCGAACGGGUGAGUAACACGUGGGUAACCUGCCCAUAAGAGGGGGGAUAACAUCCGGAAACGGGUGCUAAUACCGCAUAGUUUUCUUGAUCGCAUGAUUGAGAAAGGAAAGACGGCCUUUGUGCUGUCGCUUAUGGAUGGACCGCGGCGUAUUAGUUAGUUGGUGAGGUAACGGCUCACCAAGACGAUGAUACGUAGCCGACCUGAGAGGGUGAUCGGCCACAUUGGGACUGAGACACGGCCCAAACUCCUACGGGAGGCAGCAGUAGGGAAUCUUCCGCAAUGGACGAAAGUCUGACGGAGCAACGCCGCGUGAGUGAAAGAAGGUUUUCGGAUCGUAAAACUCUGUUGUCAGAGAAGAACAAGUUGGAGAGUAACUGCUCCAGCCUUGACGGUAUCUGACCAGAAAGCCACGGCUAACUACGUGCCAGCCGCCGC